RNAcentral lists this ribosomal RNA (459 nucleotides) under uncultured bacterium. RNAcentral describes it as "partial 16S ribosomal RNA". It matches the Rfam family "Bacterial small subunit ribosomal RNA", at positions 338 to 795 of the family's 1533-position model. The record is from RNAcentral.
CCUACGGGGCGCAGCAGUGAGGAAUAUUGGUCAAUGGCCGGAAGGCUGAACCAGCCAAGCCGCGUGAAGGACGAAGGUGCCAAGCAUUGUAAACUUCUUUUGUCAAGGGACAAAAUCAGGCUCGAGAGCCUGACCGAGGGUACUUGAAGAAAAAGCAUCGGAUAACUCCCUGCCAGCAGCCGCGGUAAUACGGAGGCUGCGAGCGUUAUCCGGAUUUAUUGGGUGUAAAGGGGUCGUAGGCGGACGGUUAAGGCAGCGGUAAAAGACCGGUGCUCAACGACGGCGAGCCGUUGAAACUGGCUGUCUUGAGAUGUCGAGAGGUAUGCGGAAUGCGCAGUGUAGCGGUGAAAUGCGUAGAUAGUGCGCAGAACUCCGAUGGCGAAGGCAGCAUACCGGCGGCGAUCUGACGCUGAGGCACGAAAGCGUGGGUAUCGAACAGGAUUAGAUACCCGUGUAGUC